This 277-nucleotide long non-coding RNA is filed under the name Homo sapiens (human). Its description in RNAcentral is "HSALNT0096463". Lineage: Eukaryota; Metazoa; Chordata; Mammalia; Primates; Hominidae. The record is from RNAcentral.
CUGAAAAAGGUUUUAAGGUGGGAGCAGACUUGGUGUGUGUGUUAGAGGAACAGCAAGGAGGCCAGGGUGGCUGGGAUAUAAUGGGUGAGGUGGAGAGUGGUGGGCAAUGAGUUUGGACCCAUAGGAGAGAACCAGUUCAUAUUAGCAUCCUGUAGGCCAUGGCAAGGAGGAUGGAUUUUCUUCUGAAUUUUUUUUCAGUGAGGAUAAAUACUGUGGCGUAUAGGCAGAGGGUGACAUGACAGGAACAUCUUAUUUUCUCAACUGGUCUGUAAAUUCA